RNAcentral lists this ribosomal RNA (200 nucleotides) under uncultured bacterium. RNAcentral describes it as "partial 16S ribosomal RNA". It matches the Rfam family "Bacterial small subunit ribosomal RNA", at positions 524 to 721 of the family's 1533-position model. The record is from RNAcentral.
UACGUAGGGUGCAAGCGUUGUCCGGAAUUAUUGGGCGUAAAGAGCUCGUAGGCGGUUUGUUGCGUCGGCUGUGAAAUCCCGAGGCUCAACCUCGGGUCUGCAGUCGAUACGAGCAAACUAGAGUGUUGCAGGGGAGACUGGAAUUCCUGGUGUAGCGGUGAAAUGCGCAGAUAUCAGGAGGAACACCCGGUGGCGAAAGG